This 222-nucleotide unclassified non-coding RNA is filed under the name plant metagenome. Its description in RNAcentral is "partial contains small subunit ribosomal RNA, internal transcribed spacer 1, and 5.8S ribosomal RNA". The stretch from base 1 to 53 matches the Rfam family "Eukaryotic small subunit ribosomal RNA", at positions 1778 to 1831 of the family's 1831-position model. The record is from RNAcentral.
GGAAGUAAAAGUGUAACAAGGUCUCCGUUGGUGAACCAGCGGAGGGAUCAUUAUCGAGUUUAUAACUCCCAAACCCUAUGUGAACUUACCACUUGUUGCUUCGGCGCGCGCUUCGGUGCCGCCGAGGACACUUAAACUCUUUGUUUUUAUAAGCAUUUCUGAGUGGCCGAAAGGCAAAAUACAAAUGAAUCAAAACUUUCAACAACGGAUCUCUUGGUUCUG